Cinara cedri is the source of this 7005-nucleotide non-coding RNA. Lineage: Eukaryota; Metazoa; Arthropoda; Insecta; Hemiptera; Aphididae. The record is from the annotation of a GenBank genome assembly.
CAUAAUUUUUCAAUUAAACAUUCGCUCUCGUUCCGAAUUUUCCGGAGAAGUAUUAUGAAUUUAUUUACAUGCGGAUGUUUCGAUAUCAACCUAUAAAAAAAAAACAAUAUCCCAAUAUUCUGUUCUAAAACAUUUAAAUGUUCACAUUCGACUUGAAAAUAACCUAUUUCAACGAAUAUACCACUAUGUACAUUACCUUUACACCAAUGUAAUAAUUUAAACGUUUUCGAACACACGACCUGACGCCGUUUAAGUACGUUGUUAUAAUUUGAAAUCGCAAUAUUACGGCCAGGUUUAACGUUAGAGUGUGCCCAUACAGGCGUUGACGAUGUAUGGACUAAAAACGAAACGUACGGUUGUGAGUUCUUACAUUCGUUCGUGGUAAAAACGUAAACGCAGUUUACACAAUAAUUUAGUAAAGUUUUACCUGUAUUUUCAAUGCGUAACAACAUGGGUACAAUCGUUCUAAAUUCUGAAGCGCUGCCAUUAUUAUUGCCAAUAAUAGUUAGUUCUGGUCCCGCACAUUGUACAGCAACAUUAAUGACCCCGAACGAUCAAUUGCUUCAUAGUUGACCGCAGAUAAAGUAUAAUAUUUUUGUAGGUGUACCGAAUUUUCGUAGGGAGGGGCCUUCAAUAGUUUCUAGGGUAGUUCAUAUCCGGGCACAGCCCGUAGUUCCGCCUAUAAUCACGUAUGGGCAGCGGAAAAACACUAAAAAGAUAACGAAAUUUCGCGUAUAGUAAGUGUCGGCGGUACAUUUUUUUUUUUUUUCAUUAAAAACGUUUCUAUUACGUAUUGUCAUCACGGCUGCUCGUAGUUGUAUUUAAUUGAACGUAAUGAACUAAUAAGCAACAGCUAUUGACGGUGGCGCCCGGACGGAAAAAAAACGGAAUCGCGUACAUAUAAUAUUUUAACCGACAUUAAGAAUAUCGAACAAAACGAAAACAUAUCAUUUGUUAAGAUAUUUAAAUGUAUGUGUGUGUGUGUGUGUGUGUGUGUGUGUGUGUGUUUUGUAUGUGUGUGUGUGCUACACAUUAUAAUAAGUAAACUAUAUGAUUAAGAGUGAUUAUCCGCCUAGACCUUAAGUAUUUAUUCUAAUGUAAUAUUAUGCGUACGUUAAAAGGUUACAACCCAGUAGAUUGUAAGAAUAUUAUUAAUGUUACAUGUAUUAUAGGGUAGUAGCCUACCCUAUUAGUAUAUAGUUUGAAAAUGUUCUAAUUGGUUAAGGAUUGGUGUGAUUCGGCGGAGUUUUUCGGUCAACAGACAAACAGUAUUAAUAUGUAUUAAAAACCACUAGGUAAACAACGGUUUAAGAUUACACAGGUUGAAGCUGUUAUACCGCUGCAGUGACCCACAAACGGUCUCUCCUAAACAGCUGUCAAAUCCGUGUAUGAAUGAAUCUGCUAUACAAAUCCAUACGCGCGAACAUCGAUAAAUGAAAAAAAAAAAAAAAACGAAAGAUAGUAAUAUUAAUAAUUAUCAAUUUAUUAGAUUGUUGAAAUUUUAAAUUUUCCGGAGUACUUACUAUAUGAUUGGAAUUUACAAUAUUUUAUUCCAAUAUGAAUUUAAAUAAUAAAAUGUAUUUUUAUUUCCAUUUGUUCUUAACGGUGGGUAUCAAUAAUACUUAUAUCUAAGACCGAUCGAAACGUUAUACGGUAAUACUAGUAAUUACUUUAACUAUUAUGGACGGUGGCAGUUGGAUUUCACAUCAGUUUCAGAGAGACCUGUUUGCUGGUGACUGUGUAGUCUAGUAUACGACGUAUUAUAGCUCGUCGUCUAUUAUCUUAAUAUUAGCGUUCACUACAAUACGAUUUUGCACAAAUUCGUUUUUUCGGUCAGUGGCGUAAGAACUGGUGACGUGUGCAAGCCCCAAACGGUUUAAAAAUACCACAACUAUGAGUGGUUUAUUUUUUUUAAAUUUUAUCUUACAAUCGGCUUUUAAAUUCUCGUUGUCGGUCUGGAUUAACAGAAGAAGAUUCAUGAUCCAUGAUUGUUAUUUACUAUAUCUCCUCCCGACACAAAUUUCUGAGCACGCCACCGGUAGAAACUGCCGCGCCGUGGGAAAUUAUUGAAAAAGUGCGGAUUUUCUAUGAGUGCGUGCGUUUAUGAUUUUUUUCUUUUUUACAAACCUUCUUAUUCCCAUCGCUCUUACCUCACGCUGCAGGAAAAGUCAGCUACUCUUAUUCCUGCCCUUCACGUCUUCUUAUCGGUUAUCCUUAUCUGUUCCACUAGCCUUCAUAAUAUCUUAGCCCCUCCUAAAAUACGCCGAAGUCUCUUUUUCUUUAUACACUUUUGUUUUCGAUUUCUAUCUCCUCAUUUCUCAUUCUCUCGACGAUCUUAUAAACCAUAUCUCCAUUUAUUUCUUGUGCAUAAUAUUAUACUUUUACCGCUUUAUUUCUCAACUCGUAUCUUUGGCUCAGCACUCGUAAGACAAUAAUAUUUUUUUCGAAAUGAAAUGAAUACUCUAGGAUCGCGUCGCCAACGCAACGGGUUGAUUUUUCUCGCGCAAAUGAACUCUAUUUCCGAUUUUAGUAUAAAUACCUAUAUUUUAUUUGUUUACGCCGAUUAGAGCAAAAAAUAACUCAACUAAUCCGUAUAUUAUAAACUAUUUUGGAAUUUUGAAAUAUUCAGUACAAUAAGUCAUCUCGUUUGCGUUCAGAUUCACGAACAAUAUUGUACAGAAACGUUUUUUUUUAAGGUAUCUAUUACUCUAAUCAAAUAAUAAAAAAAAAAAAAUUGUAAUUUAUACUGUACAAAGUGAGCGCAUCACUCGCGAAUUUGCGUAAUAACGAUUUUAUGGAGAAAAAAAAAACAGUACUCAAAUUAAAAGAGAACAUUAAAUAAUUCAGACACGUGCCUACGCUAAGUACCUAGUAAUGUUGAAAAUGUUCAUAUAAUUCUCGUAAUUUGUGCGCAAAUGAUCCGACGUAAAACCGGAGAAAAAAAUUAUGCGCAAACAACGAUAAUAGUCUCCGUCCGGUGUUCGGAAAUAAAAUCCGACGGCCGCCGACAAAACCGAUUUACGUGCAAACGUCGAAAAUACAUAAUAAUUAUCAUUGCAAACGCGUCGUUCCCUCGUACGGGGUCUCCGUUUUAAUAACGUGCUACAAAACUCGCCUCGUCGUUCCGAAAAACUCGAUUAUGCGAUUAUAUUCCCGCGUGCCGACGACUCGAGGAAAUCCGUUUCCCUCGUGCACGGUACACGGCGGAUAGGACACGCGCAUACCGGUCGCGUUGCGGACAGCGUUCCCGGAUAAGAUGGCAAUGCAACGUUAACAAUGCACCAGAAUCGCAUCUUAUUAUUUCUUAUAUUCGCUAACGAAUCCGCCUAUUUUUUCGCGAAUUAUUUCUCGUUGCGCUGCCGUGCUUUUAUUGGUGAGUGAGACGGGCGAUCCAGAAUCGUCCGACGAUCGAUACGUCCUAUCCGUUUAUGUACUACCUACGGCAUGUUUUUUAUCCACUUUGUUCAUAAAACAAUAGCGGCAAAGGAUACACAAUAAAACUGGACGGAAUCGGCUGAUUCGCAGAUAUUAUAACAGUUAUUUCAUGCAUCCGCGAAAAACCCGCGUUUAAACGUCUAAAAAAUAACAUUAUAUACCUAUUAUAAUACUAUGAUACCGAUAUAACUUACAAAAUUAUAAUAUGAUCAUUUUCGUUCGGAUAGCGCGUCCGUUCAAACCUUUUUAUUAUAUUAUAAUAUAUUAUUGCUCAACGUAACGAUAAUGAAACAGUGAAAAUACCACUAAAAAAAAAUUUUUAAAAAUUACCCGGGGGAAACCUUUCGAACUCUGUGUAAUACUAUAACGGAGAUCGCCCGCGCGACUUUUUUUUCUUUUUUUUCUUUUUUUUUUUUAUAAUUUUUCACCGAAUGUUGGUAAACACGAUGACAAUAAUAUUUUCUAGUUUUAAGACGAAUAAUAUAAUAAUCUAAUAUAAGUAUUUUAACGAUAUCGACAAUAUUUUACCUAUUGACAAUAAAACACAACAAUAAUAUUAUUAUAUACUGAUAAUUGAUGAUUAUUUUUAAUAUAAUAUUAAAAUCGUUUUUUUUUUCUACCUACGGUUUUUUUCGUUGGUUGUGUUCGUUUUAACAAAUAAUUAUACUUGUUAGAAUAUAUAUAUAUACAUAUAUGACGUCAUAUAUAAUGUACCUAAUUAUCGUUAAGCCUAUAUUAUAAUAAUAUGGAAAUAAUAUUUACGUCUCUCUCUCUCGUCAAACCUAACGUGUGCGCUUGUGUUCCCGUGUCUAUUUGUCUAGUCCGAUGUUAUUACACAAUAUACACAAUGUACACCUACUACAUUAUUAUUAUACGCAUAUACGAGUGGGUACUAUUGGCCUGUUGGUUAUUGUUAAUAUAUUUUAUUAUUUUUUUGUUUUCUACACCCCCGUAUUGUCAUUAUCGAUCUUCCCGUAGUCUAUGCCCAUACUCGUAGCCGUCGCAAACCGUAUAACCCGAAACUCCGCUGUGGAAAACGAUCCGAUUUUCAAACUGAAAAAAUAAAAACCCGUACGUUUAUUUUAUAUUGAAAUUUAUAUAGAUAAGAACGUCUCACCGACGUGUUCCGCUAGUAAAACCGUGUAAAUAGACGAAAUAACGUAACCGGCGGUUAAACUGGGGACUAUAUAGGUACAUUUACCAAAGAUCGAGGGGCGUCGCCGAAAACGUACGAAAAACGUAACGGGACUUUCGGGAAACCCAUCGUGAAGACAAUACUUUCAAAAUGUUUUUCUCUCGCGCACAUUAGUCCGUAAAAAUGUCAUACUAAUUGCGUUUAAAAAUAAACCGUACCGCUUCCUCAGAUAUUACCCUACCCGCGCUUAUUCCUGCUCGGUAAAAAUUAAAUUUAAAGAGAGGUUUGAACACGUACAGGUCCAAUCGAUAUUUAAGAAUUUAUUUUUAACCGUAGUGUUUAAAAUCUCAUUAAAAAUCUUUCAGUGACAAUACAGCAUCCAAACAUGAUAAUUUUACCUCAAUUAAGAAGGGGAGAGCUCCGUGCUCCUCCGUCCGCCCACGCUCUAACCGCCGUUCGCGCCUUUUUAAUAGACUACCGGGUAGAGUUCAAAACUAAAAUAUACAGCCGUGCGGGACUGCGAUAUUAUUUAACCUACGGACAAUCGUUUUAAUUACAUUUGAAUAAUAACUCCAUUCGUUUCGCGUUACAUUGUUAUUUGUUUUUGACGAGAGGACGGCGUCGAACGUUUAUAACGUGUUUUAUACGUUUUGUAACGUGUACCAUAAAAUAUUAGCUAUUACGCAAUAUACAUAUAUAUGUAUAUGUAUAUUAUAAUUAUAAUAAAUUUUAUUCGAUUUAAGUAAAAAUGUUUAGUAAUAUAUAGUUUAUAAGUUGUUAAUUUCACGGUUGAAAGGUACCGAGAGAAACGAUCGUAUUGAGUAGUGUUGCAACAACGCACCAUAACGCACUAAUACGCAUCAUACAGACGUGAAUAAUGAACGCUGAUUCUCACGUUUCUCGAUAUUGACAUUAUUUUCAUGUCAAAAUCGGUUUCGCGAAAAAUACCCAUCGCGUUUGCCAUUUAUAUCGGUGCAAUUCGUGUUUAUUAUUUAAAAUUUAAAUAGCUACAACUAAAGGGAUAGUGUACAAUUCGUAGGGGACUUGAACGCCCCCCCUCCCGCCGCUCGUAUUCGCAACUGUAGCCUACCUUUACAACUGUUGUGCAUUUCUAAAACAACGAUACGAUCAGACGUCUUUUAAAAACGUCCUGAAUCGUUUACUCGAGUACCUUAAACAAAAAUAAAAAAUCAUUAAUUACUGUUCUUAAUUUGUAAGCGUAAUAUUAUUAUUAUUAUUAUAUUUUAUAAGAAACAAAUCUGUGUUUUUGGUGACAAUAAUUUUCACGUAUAAUACAAUAUUAUUAUUAUUAUUAUUAUUAUUAUUAUUAUUAAACGUAUUUUACUGUUAUUGCUUGGUACCUAUGUUACUAUAUCGGUAUAAUGACUCAGCCGAGUCAAAUUCUGAAUUCUGUAUAGGUACCUAAAUGUAAACCUCGACAAUAAUUUUUCGUAGGUGAAUAAGAAAAAAAAAUAUAUAUACAUAUGUAUUAAGUGUGUUAUAAAUUUAUGAAUGUAUUAAUAAUCGAUUAAGAGACUUUUUGCUAAACGAAAAUUAUUUUACCGAAUAUUGUCUACGAAAAAACUAACUGACGAUAGCGAUUACAUAAUAAUAUACGUAUAUUGUAUUAUAAUUAUAUUUAUUAUUAACUAUAAGUAACGGAAAUUAACGUUAUAGUAGGUAUAUUACAAUAAUAUUAAGUUUUAGAUAAUAUCGCGUUGAUGACGAAGUUAAUUGAUGACAAUAAUAAUGUUGUAUAAUUUUAUAAUUUCUAUUAUCUUUACGUACUUGUAUAAUAAUCAUACGGUUGUAUUUAAAUUAUGAUAAAAAUAUUAUAAUCAUACCUAAUCGUAUUAUUAAUUUCGAUAUAUUUGAAUAAGGACUACCUACCGUCUACCUAUUUAGAUUUUUUUUUUUUUUUUUUAAUAUAAAAUUUGUGUGUAAAACCGUUAACGUUACCUAUGCGAACGCGUGACAAUAAUUAUUAUUAUUACUAUUAUUAGUCUAAUUUUUGUAUAAUAUACUAUUAUAAUUAUUAAUUAUAAUUGAGUAGCUAAUUUUUUGCACAAUAUUAUCGCGGCAAAUAUAUUAUUGCCUGUGUAAUGUAAUACGUACCGUACGUGCUAUUUAUUUAGUUAGAUUAAAGCGUUUUAUUAAUGUAUUUUGUAGUAUUGCCGUAGUGAUAAGAGUUCGUUAAUAAGACAACAAUAUUAUAAAAAUAACACUUAAUCGAUAAUCGAUAUUUUCAUAAUUCGUUUGUAUGUUAUUUUUCAUCUUCUUAAUUCCAUCAUGUCGUACACGAAUAGUAUUCAAUAAUUAUUUUGUGUACCUCACGUUUGAAAAUAAAAACGAAAAACAAUUUUUAUUAUUAUUAUCAUUUGUAAUAUAAUCGAUGUAAUAAAUGUAUACGAACGGGUUUUGAAAAAAAAAAAAUA